Molecule: ribosomal RNA, 243 nt
Filed under: uncultured Actinomycetales bacterium
Lineage: Bacteria; Bacillati; Actinomycetota; Actinomycetes; Actinomycetales
Description: partial 16S ribosomal RNA
Rfam family: Bacterial small subunit ribosomal RNA
Source: RNAcentral
UACUCGAGUGGCGAACGGGUGAGUAACACGUGGGUGAUCUGCCCUGCACUUCGGGAUAAGCUUGGGAAACUGGGUCUAAUACCGGAUAGGACCGCACUUUAGUGUGUGUGGUGGAAAGUUUUUUCGGUGUAGGAUGAGCCCGCGGCCUAUCAGCUUGUUGGUGGGGUAAUGGCCUACCAAGGCGGCGACGGGUAGCCGGACUGAGAGGGUGUACGGCCACAUUGGGACUGAGAUACGGCCCAG